CAAUAGCGUAUAUUAAAGUUGUUGCAGUUAAAAAGCUCGUAGCUGGAUUUGUGGCGUACGGUGGGUUCCGGGCACUUGUUGUCUGAGUAACUUGCUGUUGCCAUCCUUGGGUGGAACCUGUGUGGCAUUAGGUUGUCGUGCAGGGGAUGCCCAUCAUUUACUGUGAAAAAAUUAGAGUGUUCAAAGCAGGCUUAUGCCGUUGAAUAUAUUAGCAUGGAAUAAUGAGAUAGGACUUUUUUGCUAUUUUGUUGGUUUGCGCAAAGAGGUAAUGAUUAAUAGGGACAGUUGGGGGUAUUCGUAUUCCAUUGUCAGAGGUGAAAUUCUUGGAUUUUUGGAAGACGAACUACUGCGAAAGCAUUUACCAAGGAUGUUUUCAUUAA
RNAcentral lists this ribosomal RNA (380 nucleotides) under uncultured eukaryote. RNAcentral describes it as "partial 18S ribosomal RNA". It matches the Rfam family "Eukaryotic small subunit ribosomal RNA", at positions 592 to 976 of the family's 1831-position model. The record is from RNAcentral.